UCAAACUUGGUCAUUUAGAGGAAGUAAAAGUCGUAACAAGGUCUCCGUUGGUGAACCAGCGGAGGGAUCAUUACCGAGUUGCAAGACUCCCAAACCACUGUGAACCUUACCUGACGUUGCUUCGGCGGAUCCGCCCCGGCGCUCUCGCGACCGGAACCAUGGCGCCCGCCGGGGAAAAAAACACCCAAACCCUUUGAAUCUCUGUGGAUUAUCUGAGUGGCGAAAGCACAAAUACAAUCAAAACUUUCAACAACGGAUCUCUUGGCUCUGGCAUCGAUGAAGAACGCAG
RNAcentral lists this unclassified non-coding RNA (289 nucleotides) under uncultured fungus. RNAcentral describes it as "partial contains small subunit ribosomal RNA, internal transcribed spacer 1, and 5.8S ribosomal RNA". The stretch from base 1 to 73 matches the Rfam family "Eukaryotic small subunit ribosomal RNA", at positions 1759 to 1831 of the family's 1831-position model. Lineage: Eukaryota; Fungi. The record is from RNAcentral.